AUGCGCCCCUUCUCAUCCCCUCCCCCGGUUCAUCGGAGAGGAAAAUUAGCAGGUCGAGCGACCAGAUCCGCCCACAUCUGGCCCCGUUGCAACUGGCGCCGACCGCGGUGUUGGCGGGAGGCGCCAACACGCCGCUCUCGGCCGUGGAGCUGCUCCCGCCGGGCCACCCGAACCCGUCCGUCGCCUGCUCGCCUCCAGCAGCGUCUUCUCCGAACACACAGCCGACGGUGGUACGUGCUUGUGCUGGCGUGGCCGCGGCUCCACGAGGCCGUGCUCGACCCCGCCGGUGUCGAGCCCUUCGCGCGCGCCCACGCCGGCCUCCCCGCCUACGCCUACUAA
This 339-nucleotide ribosomal RNA is filed under the name Triticum aestivum (bread wheat). RNAcentral's name for it is "partial small subunit ribosomal RNA". Lineage: Eukaryota; Viridiplantae; Streptophyta; Magnoliopsida; Poales; Poaceae. The record is from RNAcentral.